Non-coding RNA from Picea glauca (white spruce), 46 nucleotides. The record is from Rfam. NCBI's taxonomy places the organism in Eukaryota, Viridiplantae, Streptophyta, Pinopsida, Pinales, Pinaceae.
AUAAUGGUGUCUUUAGACACCAUCGAAUCUUAGCUUGGAUAUGUUU